GAAUCCAUCCGUCGGUCGGGCUUCACGGUCCGCACUGGUGUGAUGGAUUCCUACCUUCUGAAUAACCAGCAUGCUAUUAAUUUGGUGCGUUGGGGAAGCAGGACUGUUACCUUGAAAAAAUUAGAGUGCUUAAAGCAGGCUAGUGCCUGAAUACAUUAGCAUGGAAUAAUGAAAUAGGACGGCAUGGUUCUAUUUUGUUGGUUUCUAGGAUCACCGUA
RNAcentral lists this unclassified non-coding RNA (218 nucleotides) under uncultured Acaulospora. Its description in RNAcentral is "sequence contains 18S rRNA gene". The stretch from base 47 to 218 matches the Rfam family "Eukaryotic small subunit ribosomal RNA", at positions 692 to 864 of the family's 1831-position model. The record is from RNAcentral. Lineage: Eukaryota; Fungi; Glomeromycota; Glomeromycetes; Diversisporales; Acaulosporaceae.